UAAACGAAAGCAAAUUAAUUGCACCUAACUGUUAAUUAGGAGUAAGUUUUUAUAAACUCGUUUAU
This 65-nucleotide transfer RNA is filed under the name Ozobranchus jantseanus. RNAcentral's name for it is "tRNA-Asn". Lineage: Eukaryota; Metazoa; Annelida; Clitellata; Hirudinida; Ozobranchidae. The record is from RNAcentral.